Molecule: ribosomal RNA, 492 nt
Filed under: uncultured bacterium
Lineage: Bacteria
Description: partial 16S ribosomal RNA
Rfam family: Bacterial small subunit ribosomal RNA
Source: RNAcentral
AGUGAACGCUGGCGGUAGGCCUAACACAUGCAAGUCGAACGGCAGCACAGUAAGAGCUUGCUCUUACGGGUGGCGAGUGGCGGACGGGUGAGGAAUACAUCGGAAUCUACUUUUUCGUGGGGGAUAACGUAGGGAAACUUACGCUAAUACCGCAUACGACCUACGGGUGAAAGCAGGGGAUCUUCGGACCUUGCGCGAUUGAAUGAGCCGAUGUCGGAUUAGCUAGUUGGCGGGGUAAAGGCCCACCAAGGCGACGAUCCGUAGCUGGUCUGAGAGGAUGAUCAGCCACACGGGAACUGAGACACGGUCCAGACUCCUACGGGAGGCAGCAGUGGGGAAUAUUGGACAAUGGGCGCAAGCCUGAUCCAGCCAUACCGCGUGGGUGAAGAAGGCCUUCGGGUUGUAAAGCCCUUUUGUUGGGAAAGAAAAGCAGCAGGUUAAUACCCCGCUGUCCUGACGGUACCCAAAGAAUAAGCACCGGCUAACUUCGUG